UACGUAGGUGGCGAGCGUUGUCCGGAAUUAUUGGGCGUAAAGCGCGCGCAGGUGGGAUCUUAAGUCCAUUUUGAAAGUUCGGAGCUCAACUCCGUGAGGGGAUGGAAACUGGGAUUCUUGAGUACCGGAGAGGAAAGCGGAAUUCCCCGUGUAGCGGUGAAAUGCGUAGAUAUGGGGAGGAACACCAGUGGCGAAGGCGGCUUUCUGGACGGUGUCUGACACUGAGGCGCGAAAGCCAGGGGAGCAAACG
This 250-nucleotide ribosomal RNA is filed under the name uncultured bacterium. Its description in RNAcentral is "partial 16S ribosomal RNA". It matches the Rfam family "Bacterial small subunit ribosomal RNA", at positions 524 to 774 of the family's 1533-position model. The record is from RNAcentral. RNAcentral also lists the same sequence under 1 other name.